RNAcentral lists this ribosomal RNA (497 nucleotides) under uncultured bacterium. Its description in RNAcentral is "partial 16S ribosomal RNA". It matches the Rfam family "Bacterial small subunit ribosomal RNA", at positions 28 to 507 of the family's 1533-position model. The record is from RNAcentral.
GACGAACGCUGGCGGCGUGCCUAAUACAUGCAAGUAGAACGCUGAAGAGAGGAGCUUGCUCUUCUUGGAUGAGUUGCGAACGGGUGGGUAACGCGUAGGUAACCUGCCUUGUAGCGGGGGAUAACUAUUGGAAACGAUAGCUAAUACCGCAUAACAAUGGAUGACACAUGUCAUUUAUUUGAAAGGGGCAAUUGCUCCACUACAAGAUGGACCUGCGUUGUAUUAGCUAGUAGGUGAGGUAAUGGCUCACCUAGGCGACGAUACAUAGCCGACCUGAGAGGGUGAUCGGCCACACUGGGACUGAGACACGGCCCAGACUCCUACGGGAGGCAGCAGUAGGGAAUCUUCGGCAAUGGGGGCAACCCUGACCGAGCAACGCCGCGUGAGUGAAGAAGGUUUUCGGAUCGUAAAGCUCUGUUGUAAGUCAAGAACGGGUGUGAGAGUGGAAAGUUCACACUGUGACGGUAGCUUACCAGAAAGGGACGGCUAACUACGUG